CUACGGGCGGCUCCAGUGGGGAAUAUUGCACAAUGGACGAAAGUCUGAUGCAGCAACGCCGCGUGGAGGAUGACACAUUUCGGUGCGUAAACUCCUUUUAUAUAGGAAGAUAAUGACGGUACUAUAUGAAUAAGCGCCGGCUAACUCCGUGCCAGCAGCCGCGGUAAUACGGAGGGCGCAAGCGUUACUCGGAAUCACUGGGCGUAAAGAGCGUGUAGGCGGAUAGAUAAGUCAGGAGUGAAAUCCUAUGGCUCAACCAUAGAACUGCUCUUGAAACUGUCUAUCUAGAAUAUGGGAGAGGUAGAUGGAAUUGCUGUUGUAGGGGUAAAAUCCGGAGAGAUCAGAAGGAAUACAGAUUGCGAAGGCGAUCUACUGGAACAUUAUUGACGCUGAGACGCGAAAGCGUGGGGAGCAAACAGGAUUAGAUACCCGUGUAGUC
RNAcentral lists this ribosomal RNA (439 nucleotides) under uncultured bacterium. RNAcentral's name for it is "partial 16S ribosomal RNA". It matches the Rfam family "Bacterial small subunit ribosomal RNA", at positions 339 to 795 of the family's 1533-position model. The record is from RNAcentral.